RNAcentral lists this ribosomal RNA (379 nucleotides) under Glomus sp. RNAcentral describes it as "SSU rRNA". It matches the Rfam family "Eukaryotic small subunit ribosomal RNA", at positions 548 to 932 of the family's 1831-position model. Lineage: Eukaryota; Fungi; Glomeromycota; Glomeromycetes; Glomerales; Glomeraceae. The record is from RNAcentral.
UUGGAGGGCAAGUCUGGUGCCAGCAGCCGCGGUAAUUCCAGCUCCAAUAGCGUAUAUUAAAGUUGUUGCAGUUAAAAAGCUCGUAGUUGAAUUUCGGAAUAAGCAGGUCGGUCGUGCCACAGGUAUGUACUGGUCUUGCUGAUUCCUCCCUCUUGACGAGCCGUAAUGCCAUUAAUUUGGUGUUGCGGGGAAUCAGGACUGUUACUUUAGAAAAAAUUGAGUGUUUAAAGCAGGCUCACGCUUGAAUACAUUAGCAUGGAAUAAUGAAAUAGGACGUUCGAUCCUAUUUUGUUGGUUUCUAGGAUUGACGUAAUGAUUAAUAGGGAUAGUUGGGGGCAUUAGUAUUCAAUUGUCAGAGGUGAAAUUUCUUGGUAUUUUA